UCGAGAAUAUUCGACAAUGGGCGAAAGCCUGAUCGAGCGACGCCGCGUGCAGGAUGAAGGCCCUCGGGUUGUAAACUGCGGUAGUAGGGGAGGAACGCAAGUGACUGUACCCUACGGAAAGUGGUUGGUAACUACGUGCCAGCACCAGCGGUAAUACGUAGACCACAAGCGUUAUCCGGAUUUAUUGGGCGUAAAGAGCAUGUAGGAGGUCCGGUGCGUCUCUGGUUAAAGCCCACCGCCUAACGGUGGAAGUGCCAGAGAUACGAUCGGACUGGAGGAUGUGAGAGGUGCAUGGAACUCACGGUGUAGGGGUGAAAUCCGUUGAUAUCGUGGGGAACACCAAAGGCGAAGGCAGUGCACUGGUACAUUCCUGACUCUGAGAUGCGAAAGCGUGGGGAGCAAAAAGGAUUAGAUACCCUCGUAGUCCCUGAGCGGGCUGGCAAGGCGCAU
This 450-nucleotide ribosomal RNA is filed under the name uncultured bacterium. Its description in RNAcentral is "bacterial SSU rRNA". It matches the Rfam family "Bacterial small subunit ribosomal RNA", at positions 355 to 825 of the family's 1533-position model. The record is from RNAcentral.